GAGUUUGAUCAUGGCUCAGGAUGAACGCUAGCUACAGGCUUAACACAUGCAAGUCGAGGGGCAGCAUGAAAGUUUGCUUGCAAACUUUUGAUGGCGACCGGCGCACGGGUGAGUAACACGUAUCCAACCUGCCUCAUACUCGGGGAUAGCCUUUCGAAAGAAAGAUUAAUACCCGAUGUCAUAGUCCUACCGCAUGAUGGGAUUAUUAAAGAAUUUCGGUAUGGGAUGGGGAUGCGUUCCAUUAGUUAGUUGGCGGGGUAACGGCCCACCAAGACGACGAUGGAUAGGGGUUCUGAGAGGAAGGUCCCCCACAUUGGAACUGAGACACGGUCCAAACUCCUACGGGAGGCAGCAGUGAGGAAUAUUGGUCAAUGGACGAGAGUCUGAACCAGCCAAGUCGCGUGAGGGACGACGGCCCUAUGGGUUGUAAACUUCUUUUAUAUGGGAAUGAAACGUUCCACGUGUGGGAUUUUGUAUGUACCAUAUGAAUAAGGAUCGGCUAACUCCGUGCCAGCAGCCGCGGUAAUACGGAGGAUCCGAGCGUUAUCCGGAUUUAUUGGGUUUAAAGGGAGCGUAGGUGGAUUGUUAAGUCAGUUGUGAAAGUUUGCGGCUCAACCGUAAAAUUGCAGUUGAAACUGGCAGUCUUGAGUACAGUAGAGGUGGGCGGAAUUCGUGGUGUAGCGGUGAAAUGCUUAGAUAUCACGAAGAACUCCGAUUGCGAAGGCAGCUCACUGGACUGCAACUGACACUGAGGCUCGAAAGUGUGGGUAUCAAACAGGAUUAGAUACCCUGGUAGUCCACACAGUAAACGAUGAAUACUCGCUGUUUGCGAUAUACAGCAAGCGGCCAAGCGAAAGCAUUAAGUAUUCCACCUGGGGAGUACGCCGGCAACGGUGAAACUCAAAGGAAUUGACGG
Molecule: ribosomal RNA, 916 nt
Filed under: uncultured bacterium
Lineage: Bacteria
Description: bacterial SSU rRNA
Rfam family: Bacterial small subunit ribosomal RNA
Source: RNAcentral